AGGAUCAUUACCGAACCGUCGACACGAGCUGUUGCUGGCCCUCGAGAGGGGGCACGUGCACGCUCUGUUUACACAUCCACUCACACCUGUGCACCCUCUGUAGUUCUGUGGCCUUGGGGGCUCUGUCCUCUUGCCGUGGUCCUACGUCUUUACACACACACCGUAACAAAGUCUCAUGGAAUGUAUGUCGCGUUUAACGCAAUACAAUACAACUUUCAGCAACGGAUCUCUUGGCUCUCGCAUCGAUGAAGAACGCAGCGAAAUGCGAUAAGUAAUGUGAAUUGCAGAAUUCAGUGAAUCAUCGAAUCUUUGAACGCACCUUGCGCCCUUUGGCUAUUCUGAAGGGCAUGCCUGUUUGAGUAUCAUGAACACCUCAACUCUCACGGUCCGCCGUGAUGAGCUUGGACUUUGGGGGUCUUGCUGGCCUGGCGUCGGCUCCUCUCAAAUGGAUCAGCUUGCCAGUGUUUGGUGGCAUCACAGGUGUGAUAACUAUCUACGCUUGUGGUUUCCUGCCAUGCAGCCUUCAGCGAUGGAGGUUCGCUGGAGCUCACAGAUGUCUCUCCUCGGUGAGGACGGCUUUUGAACGUUUGAUCUCAAAUCAGGUAGGACUACCCGCUGAACUUAAGCAUAUCAAUAAGCGGAGGAAAAGAAACUAACAAGGAUUCCCCUAGUAACUGCGAGUGAAGCGGGAAGAGCUCAAAUUUAAAAUCUGGCGUGCCUCUGGCCGUCCGAGUUGUAGUCUGGAGAAGCGAUUUCCGUG
Molecule: ribosomal RNA, 760 nt
Filed under: uncultured Thelephoraceae
Lineage: Eukaryota; Fungi; Basidiomycota; Agaricomycetes; Thelephorales; Thelephoraceae
Description: eukaryotic LSU rRNA
Rfam family: 5.8S ribosomal RNA (bases 211-365)
Source: RNAcentral